Molecule: non-coding RNA, 1506 nt
Organism: Phoenix dactylifera (date palm)
Lineage: Eukaryota; Viridiplantae; Streptophyta; Magnoliopsida; Arecales; Arecaceae
Source: RefSeq, a predicted model, not a curated record
AAACUCCCUUGCCGGCCUUUAUUCCAACUGGUCAUGCUGGAGGAAAUGAUGGUAAUAGGAAUUUCCAUCCACCAACCCGAGGAGACCAAAUGCUUGGCGCCCCAAUGCCAGCAGUUUCGGCAGCAGACCACCUAAUGGUCAUGAACCUGGUAGCCAUUUCAACCAGACAUGGUGCAAUCAACGGGCUUUGAAUCCAAGAGAUAACAUAAAUAUGCCACAUCGUAUUGGUACCAGGACUUUCAUCAGGCCAGUUCCCCAAUUUUGUGGUCCAGCUCCACGGUUCAUCAAUGGACCUGGUUAUCCUGGUCCUGCUCCUCCCAUGUAUUAUGUUUCUGCUGCUCCUCUGGAAAUGAUGAGGGUCCUCCUCAUUUUGUUUCACAUCCUCCUCGUCCUCCAUAUCCUAUUCUGACACCAGAGGCACUAGCCUUGAGGGCUAGGAUAGUAAAACAAAUCGAGUACUAUUUCAGUGAUGAGAAUUUGCAGAAGGACCCGUACUUGAUAUCAUUACUGGACGAACAGGGAUGGGUUUCUAUAUCUAAAAUUGCAGAUUUUAAUAGGGUUAAAAAAAUGACAACAAACAUAUCCUUGAUUCUGGAUGCUUUGCAGAGCUCAGAGUUGAUAGAAGUUCAGGAUGACAAGAUAAGAAGGAGAAAUGACUGGUCAAAGUGGAUUCCAGCAUCAGCUCAGCAGGCAGUUUCAACAAAAUCUCAGUCUACGGAAGGCCAAUCUCCUGUCGCAUGGAAAAAAAUGACACUAGUGGAAGUAAUAAUUGUGGCAUCUUUCAUGAGAGCAAUGCUGGCCAAACUACAUGUAAAGAUAGUGACGAGUGUUUGCCCACAUCAAAUGAUUAUUCUAAGCAGAAGUUAAGAAUAGUACAGAAUGUAACAUGGGGAAGGUGUCAAGUGUUGGUAAAUCACUAGCAUGCAAUGGAGAUAGCGAAGAAAAGAGCAAAGAAUUAGCAUCUGGACCAUUUUUGGAAACUAAACAGGAGAGCCUUGUGGUGACUGUAGCUGUCUGUUAGACAACGAUUCUGUCAGGAGCAUUUCCGAUGUUAAGCAUGGCAGCAUUGAUAUUUCUGUUAGAUCUGAAGGUUUACAGGAAAAAACCUAUCCUUCCAGUAGUGGCACUGAUCCUUCCAGUAGUUGCAAUCCCGAACUUCAGGAAGUAAACACAAGGUCAAAUAUGAGACCUGGCACCCCAAGUCUAGGAGGUUCCUUAAAUGGUUUUGUGAAUAAUGAGUCUCCUAGCUUUGCUGGGGAGCAAAACACAUUCAUGCUUGAUGAAGAGCUGGAAUUAGAGCAGUCAACAAGCCAAAAAGACCAUCCAUCAUCAAACAAAAGGACUGAUGACGAGGAGGAUGAGAUUGAUGUUAACGACCAAGUUGUGCAUAAACUUAUAAUUGUUACCCAGGUAAGGUUAUGUGAUUGUUCUUGACUUCCGUUGCUUUCACCCCAUUUAUUAACUAUUUUGUUUAAUGGGCUUGUAUUUUAAUAACACAAAUCAAAU